RNAcentral lists this ribosomal RNA (502 nucleotides) under Candida albicans. RNAcentral's name for it is "eukaryotic LSU rRNA". The stretch from base 145 to 298 matches the Rfam family "5.8S ribosomal RNA". Lineage: Eukaryota; Fungi; Ascomycota; Pichiomycetes; Serinales; Debaryomycetaceae. The record is from RNAcentral.
UGGCAUUAGGAUUGCUAUUGCACCACAUGUGUUUUUCUUUGAAACAAACUUGCUUUGGCGGUGGGCCCAGCCUGCCGCCAGAGGUCUAAACUUACAACCAAUUUUUUAUCAACUUGUCACACCAGAUUAUUACUUAAUAGUCAAAACUUUCAACAACGGAUCUCUUGGUUCUCGCAUCGAUGAAGAACGCAGCGAAAUGCGAUACGUAAUAUGAAUUGCAGAUAUUCGUGAAUCAUCGAAUCUUUGAACGCACAUUGCGCCCUCUGGUAUUCCGGAGGGCAUGCCUGUUUGAGCGUCGUUUCUCCCUCAAACCGCUGGGUUUGGUGUUGAGCAAUACGACUUGGGUUUGCUUGAAAGACGGUAGUGGUAAGGCGGGAUCGCUUUGACAAUGGCUUAGGUCUAACCAAAAACAUUGCUUGCGGCGGUAACGUCCACCACGUAUAUCUUCAAACUUUGACCUCAAAUCAGGUAGGACUACCCGCUGAACUUAAGCAUAUCAAAA